AGUGGCGAACGGGUGAGUAACGCGUAAGAACCUGCCCUUGGGAGGGGAACAACAACUGGAAACGGUUGCUAAUACCCCGUAGGCUGAGGAGCAAAAGGAGAAAUCCACCCAUGGAGGGGCUCACGUCUGAUUUGCUAGUUGGUGAGGUAAUAGCUUACCAAGGCGGUGAUCAGUAGCUGGCCCUAGAGGAUGAUCAGCCACACUAGGACUGAGGCACGGCCGAGACUCC
Molecule: ribosomal RNA, 229 nt
Filed under: uncultured Streptophyta
Lineage: Eukaryota; Viridiplantae; Streptophyta
Description: partial 16S ribosomal RNA
Rfam family: Bacterial small subunit ribosomal RNA
Source: RNAcentral